This is a small nuclear RNA of Equus quagga, 107 nucleotides long. NCBI's taxonomy places the organism in Eukaryota, Metazoa, Chordata, Mammalia, Perissodactyla, Equidae. The record is from RefSeq and is a predicted model, not a curated record.
GGGCUUGCUUCGGCAGCACAUAUACUAAAACUGGAACGAUACAGAGAAGAUUAGCAUGGCCCCAGAACAAGGAUGACAUUCAAAUUCGUGAAGCAUUCCAUAUUUUU